Non-coding RNA from Camelina sativa (false flax), 437 nucleotides. Lineage: Eukaryota; Viridiplantae; Streptophyta; Magnoliopsida; Brassicales; Brassicaceae. The record is from RefSeq and is a predicted model, not a curated record.
CAUUGAGAAAGCUGAAACACAGCCAAACUUAACCAUCGGUGUGCUCAUUGCAAUCGUGGUUGUCUUCCUCACCCUCUUCUUCAAGCUUAUAUUUGGUGGUGCAAAGGUGAAUGUGGAAAAGAAGAAACCUGAAACAGCAACAGAGGCCUCAUCGAGCGAGUCAAAGACAGAGGAGAAGGAAGAAACGGCGGCUGUGCCACGUAGGAGGCCGACAAGGCGUGAUAGUUAGAGAAAGAUUUUGAUUUUUGGGUUCUUUGUUUGGUUGAACACCUUAUAUUAGACAGUAGGAAAACAAGAUUGUAACAUGCUUAUUUUUUUUUAUUUUUCUUUGUAUGCUUUUUUAGUUUCUCACUUGAAUCUGAAGAUCAACAUGUGGGUUGAAGAUCACAGACCGACAAUGUCACCUGGCCGUGUUAAAAACUCGAAGUUGAUGCUAA